RNAcentral lists this unclassified non-coding RNA (332 nucleotides) under uncultured fungus. RNAcentral describes it as "partial contains 5.8S ribosomal RNA, internal transcribed spacer 2, and large subunit ribosomal RNA". Lineage: Eukaryota; Fungi. The record is from RNAcentral.
AACGCAAAUUGCGCCCGAGGCCUCGGCCGAGGGCAUGUCUGCCUCAGCGUCGGUUUACACCCUCGCCCUCCCCUUCAUUGGGGCGGGGCGGAACUGGCCCUCCCGGCCGCCUGCUCCUGGCAGUGCCACCGGGCCGGCUGAAGCGCAGAGGCUUGAGCAUGGACCCCGUUUGCAGGGCAAUGACUUGGUAGGUAGGACCCCCCACUCACGCCUGCCGUUGCCCGAGGGGACUUUGCUGGAGGCCCAUCCGGGGCUUGGGGCGGCUUUUGUCCCCAGCCCCACCCUUUCAAACCUUCGACCUGAGCUCAGGCAAGACUACCCGCUGAACUUAA